CCUACGGGGGGCAGCAGUGAGGAAUAUUGGUCAAUGGCCGUAAGGCUGAACCAGCCAAGUCGCGUGAAGGAAGAAGGAUCUAUGGUUUGUAAACUUCUUUUAUAGGGGAAUAAAGGUAUCCACGUGUGGAUUUUUGCAGGUACCCUAUGAAUAAGCAUCGGCUAACUCCGUGCCAGCAGCCGCGGUAAUACGGAGGAUGCGAGCGUUAUCCGGAUUUAUUGGGUUUAAAGGGUGCGUAGGUUGUUUUGUAAGUCAGCGGUGAAAGUUUGUGGCUCAACCAUAAAAUUGCCGUUGAAACUGGAAGACUUGAGUGUGUUUGAGGUAGGCGGAAUGCGUGGUGUAGCGGUGAAAUGCAUAGAUAUCACGAAGAACUCCGAUUGCGAAGGCAGCUUACUGGGCCAUAACUGACACUGAAGCACGAAAGCGUGGGGAUCAAACAGGAUUAGAUACCCUUGUAGUC
This 460-nucleotide ribosomal RNA is filed under the name uncultured bacterium. Its description in RNAcentral is "partial 16S ribosomal RNA". It matches the Rfam family "Bacterial small subunit ribosomal RNA", at positions 338 to 795 of the family's 1533-position model. The record is from RNAcentral.